This is a long non-coding RNA of Peromyscus californicus insignis, 1643 nucleotides long. RefSeq lists it as uncharacterized. The record is from RefSeq and is a predicted model, not a curated record. The transcript is spliced from 5 exons. NCBI's taxonomy places the organism in Eukaryota, Metazoa, Chordata, Mammalia, Rodentia, Cricetidae.
GUAAAAUUAAAUUAAUUAUAAAAUAAAAAUAUUUUUAAAGAGAGAGAGAUAGCUAAGCCUCUCUCAGUUCCCAUGCGAGGCAGCUCACAGUCAUUAGGAACUUCAGAGGAUCUAAUUCCCUCUUCUGGGCUCCUCAGGUUUUGCACUCAGGGAUACAAACCCACAGCAAGACACAUACAUACACAUAAUUAAAUAAAUAAAUCUCUUUUUAAAAAUCUUCAUGCUUACAACCACUUUAUUCUAUCGGAAUCUCGGAACCGGGCCAAGCACAGAUAGUUUUUAUAUUUUUGUUUCAAAUGAUAGACUUUUAUCCUUCUUCAUGGCUGAAUAUUGUUCACUGAUAGACGCCUGGGUGGAUCCACAGAGACGCAGGCGGGUAACUGUGGAGUCGCAAUUGCUGGCUGAAACAGCAGUAGAUUAAGGUGCAGCCACUGGAGAGUGUGGGCAGAGGGCAGUGCUCACACAUCUCCGGUGAAAGUGGAAAUGAGUCCAGCCACUACAGAAGUCAAUAUGGAGGUUUCUCGAGAACCGAAGAUAGAUCUACGUACGCGGCCGUUGUACCACUCCUGGUGUUUACUUAAAGGAGACACUUGCACAUCAGUGAUCAGUGCACACCAUUCACAACUGCUAAGUGAUGGAGCAAACCUCGGGGUCCAUCAACACAGCCACGAAUAGAGAAGUUUGCUCAGCCACACAGAAGAGCCUAGCUUUGGCACUUACAGGAGAACGGAUGUAACUGGAAUGAUCAGAUUGUGCAAACUUAUGGUGUGACCCUGGAAGUCUGCUGGGCAACUUUGGAACAUAUGGACCAGUCCUAACACUGGGUACCAGAAAGAGCAAGUGACUGAACAGAAUUGCCCAUCACCAGAAGAAUGGACAGAGAUUAGAACCCCGGGAAAGAUCACUCACUAGAUGUAAAAACAGACUCUGAAUCUUGGCUCUGAAAUGUCCUGACCUCAUGACCCCAGUUUACAGAGCCACACAGUGCCCAGAAGCCUGAGGCUGCAGCCUGUUCUGCCAAGGAGGCAGACUGCCCUGCCAGGACCUGUGGAAGACAGGCUUGACUGAUCCCAGGAACUUACCCUAUGCCUCCAGCCUCCAGAGGAUGCCCAGCGGAGGCACUUGUCCAGCCACCUUCCCAAGCUCUUGCUGCUCCUGCAGCCUCUCGGAGAGGAAAGAGAUGCCAAAGCCGAGAGUUACAUGUGCCUGUCAUAGCCCUUCCUCUAAAAACAAAGCUGCUCAAGGGUUUGGCUGCUACAGAGAAAGAAAGCGACGUGCAGGCUUAACAACUUGCUGGGACCUGUAGGCUGGGUCUACAGUUGCACACCUCCUCUCCAGCUGAGCAAGGGUGGGUGAGUCACCAGCCUUCCCAAGCCUUGGUUUCCCCAUCUGCAACAAGUCUGUUAUGCAAAUGGAAUUCAUCGACGUGUGCGGCAUAUAUCGACUAGGUUUUUGACACUCGUGGAUCCCAGUCACCAUGCUGUAAGGAUGGUCAAGCAACCCCGAGGAGUUUUUACAGAACAGAACUCUGACAGAAUCCUCAACAGAUGAGCCCUCUGUAUUGGUUACAGCACCCAUGCUGGGCAACUCACAACAUCCUGUAACUCCAGCUCCAGGGGAUCAGACAUCCUCUUCUGACCUCC